Pyrus x bretschneideri (Chinese white pear) is the source of this 2153-nucleotide long non-coding RNA. RefSeq lists it as uncharacterized. The transcript is spliced from 2 exons. The record is from RefSeq and is a predicted model, not a curated record. NCBI's taxonomy places the organism in Eukaryota, Viridiplantae, Streptophyta, Magnoliopsida, Rosales, Rosaceae.
UCCAUGGUUCGAUUUUUUAUGCUGGUGAAUUACACGAUGGCGGCUAAGGGUAGGUUGAAGUACCUUUGUGAGUGUUUUUUAUGUUGACAAUAUUAUAUACUAAACGAGAGCCUUUUGUUUGAAAAAAAAUACUUAUUAAAGCUAAAAAUACAAGAGAGAUCUCAUGGAGUCACCUAAAACAGCCAGCUAAACAGAGGAAAUCAGGAGCCCUGUCCUUCUUCUUCUGUUGCAACAUUCAACAGAAAAUUCGGGCAACAAAGGAAAGAAAAAGCUUUGAACUGAAAAGCUCACUCCUUCCUCUCAGUCUCUCAGUCUCUCAGUCUCUUAGUCAGUCAGUGUAGAGCUCUAAUGACAGAUAAGAAUCAAAGUGACAGGUUAAUGUCAGUUGAUAAUUCGUUCGGAAAGUUUCCUGAUCAUCUCGUAAUAGAAAUUUUCAUCCGAGUUCCUGUCUCAAAGUGGGCACAAAUCUCCUGCGUUAAAAAACAGUGGGCCAAUUUGUUUCAAGGAGAACUUUUGUGGCAAGCUACUCUUGCUAUGACAUUUCCCUUGGCUAGCCAAGCUAAAAGGUGGCCAGGACCUAUCCCUUGAGGAUUGAGCAAAAGGUAUAAUAACACGUCUACUUCAAUCCCUUUUUUUUCCCUCUCUUUUAGUAAUUCCUUUCUUCUGAGUUUUCAUAUUUUGUUGUUCUUAAAAAAAUGCAAUAUGAUCAUUGAUGGUCUAUAUCUAGUCAUUGCCUUAAGGACAAAUUCCUUUUCCUGUUCUAAUUUCCCGCUUGAAAAUUAAAUCAAACGACAACUUUUGGCUAGGCUUGAUUUGUUGGCAUAUUAUUAAAGAUCAUGUUAUGACUUGUGCCUGCAUGUUUUUUAUUCAUAUCUUAAACUGUAGCUCUUACUUUCCCCUAGGUGCUGAUUUGAUGCCUGUGCUUAUCGUCAUAUAUCCAUGCAUUAUAUUUUGCUAAGGUACUGGAAAUUUUCGCAAGAGAUUUGAAGCUUUAUAUGUCCGUAAACAUAUCUUUUCUCUGGAUGGCGAGAUUGAUGAGAUCGUGGGCUAUAGUUAUUUGUUUCUAAAAGAGCAGCUUGAGCGUUCAACUAUGCCACCCUCUUCUAGUAUACUGCACGAAACCUUCAUAGGUGUGUUUCAAAUUUCACUUCUCUAUCUUGCUUUCUCUGCUUUUAUAAACCUGGAACUGAAAAUUAAUCUGUGAAAUAAAAAUUUAUGAUGUGAGUACUGAUCCCUGAUCUCAAGUUUGAUGGUUUAAAGUUAAUAUAGGCUAUUUAAUCUUGCAUUUGCUCCUAGCUUGUGGACAUGUUGCAAAAGUUUUGGUUUACAUAACAUGAUGUAAGUAGAAGUUUACAAUCUCAAACUUGUAUCGCAAAUUGUGAUCCAUUAUGCCACCUAAUGUUCUGGAAUUUUAGCAUCGGUAUGUGGUAAUGAAAUGCAUAUUGUCCACCGUCGUGACAACGAUAAUACAUAUUGCAUACCAAAUCUGAUGGGAAAUUUUGUUGUUUGCGCUGAGUUUAAUUAAUACCAGGUUGUGAUCUCAUUUGACCUCCUGACUUAAAAUUACUGUGUUUAGUAAAUCAGUUUAUUGCUUGUGGGAAAUCGAGAGUCAUGGCUCAUGAUCUUGCUUCCCAGAUCUGGCUGGCUGUUCUCGACAAUUUAGAGGAAAAUGAGAAAACUUUUCAAUUACUUAAACGUAACAAAUGUCGAAAUGCAGAAGAUACAGACAUGAUUAAGUUAAUAUUGUUGCUGCAACGUGUUCAUUUUCCUUGAUACGCAGUGCUAGUACAUUGAAUCAUUCCUUAUGAAUAGGUUUUUUUCUCGUACCCAUACUCAAGAUCGAUCAAAGUCCAAUGGAGGGUGUUUGAAAAGCUAUUCACAGAUUUUCACGACUACUUCAAUUAUGCAGAUUAUUAUGAUGUGCUGGGUUGUGCAAAGAACAAGUUUCAACCAAUACCAUCCACUUGGUUAGCUUACAGAUCAACCUUAAGUGCACAUCUUUUUCGAAUUAGUCACAAGUACAUUUGUAUAUAUGGAAGUCACAAGAGUUAUGCUUGAAUGUUGUUGUAUAAAGAUGUAUUUUUUUUAUCUUUCUUUUGCAAACUAGCCUUGUGGCCAACAAUUAUAUAUAGUGCAAUUUGAAAUUCUUAUUA